Long non-coding RNA from Fukomys damarensis (Damara mole-rat), 706 nucleotides. RefSeq lists it as uncharacterized. NCBI's taxonomy places the organism in Eukaryota, Metazoa, Chordata, Mammalia, Rodentia, Bathyergidae. The transcript has 3 exons. The record is from RefSeq and is a predicted model, not a curated record.
AUGUCUGUGAGUUGGGAUUGUACAACAUAAUUUCUCCUAACAAGAAUCCAGUACUUCCUUCCAAAUGAGGGCCACAUCUCCCCUUCAUUGCUCUGAUUAUUGAGUCAUUACCAUGGGCCCUUUGUGACUUUGGUGCCAUGUUGAGGACAUCAUCUCCGUGUAUCUUAGGUCUCCACUCCCAUGGAUGUACUUCCCACCAGACUGCUGCAAGGGUGUGGUAUUGUGAGCUGCUCAGGUCUCCCAGGGUCACCUCAAAAUGAUAGCCCUGCUGGUUACACUCUCCUUCCCUGAGCACUGGAAGACGCCAGCAGCUCUACUAUAGCAGCUCAGACAGAGAUGAAGAAUCAGGGAGAGGAGCAGCUUGUCAAUGAAGAUAGAAAGCCACAGGAAACGGGGAGCCUGUCAGAAGUGAGCCCACUUGGCCAGAGAUAAAGCAAUGCCACUCCCCCCAGAGGCUGGAAAAACACUCUCUGUGGAGACACCUGAAGGUUAGGAGCAACGUUUAGAAGCAUUUCUCACCCCAGAGGAGAGACACCCUGGGUGUUGUGCAGAACUUUCUUCAGACUUCAGAAUCCGCUCAUCUAGCAAAGCAAACUCUUUUUGUAGCCUCUGGGCCUACAAAUACAACUGUUUGUUUUACCUGUCCAGGCCCUGAAGUUUUGAUCCAAGACAGCAUUUCUACUUGAUCCUCUUUGUAGAAUAAAGG